RNAcentral lists this ribosomal RNA (745 nucleotides) under uncultured Thermaceae bacterium. RNAcentral's name for it is "bacterial SSU rRNA". It matches the Rfam family "Bacterial small subunit ribosomal RNA", at positions 584 to 1332 of the family's 1533-position model. The record is from RNAcentral. Lineage: Bacteria; Thermotogati; Deinococcota; Deinococci; Thermales; Thermaceae.
CAAGUCCGAUGCUAAAGACUGGGGCUCAACCCCAGGGGUGCGUUGGAUACUGUGAGGCUAGACGGUCGGAGGGGGUAGCGGAAUUUCCGGAGUAGCGGUGAAAUGCGCAGAUACCGGAAGGAACGCCAAUAGCGAAGGCAGCUACCUGGACGACUUGUGACGCUGAGGCGCGAAAGCGUGGGGAGCAAACCGGAUUAGAUACCCGGGUAGUCCACGCCCUAAACCAUGAGUGCUGGGUGUCCCGGCUUCUGCUGGGUGCCGUAGCUAACGCGCUAAGCACUCCGCCUGGGAAGUACGCACGCAAGUGUGAAACUCAAAGGAAUUGACGGGGGCCCGCACAAGCGGUGGAGCAUGUGGUUUAAUUCGAAGCGACGCGAAGAACCUUACCAGGCCUUGACAUGCCCGGAACCCCUCUGAAAGGAGGGGGUGCCCGCAAGGGAGCCGGGACACAGGUGCUGCAUGGCCGUCGUCAGCUCGUGUCGUGAGAUGUUGGGUUAAGUCCCGCAACGAGCGCAACCCCUAUCCCUAGUUGCCAGCAGUUCGGCUGGGCACUCUAUGGAGACUGCCUGCGAAAGCAGGAGGAAGGCGGGGAUGACGUCUGGUCCGCAUGGCCCUUACGGCCUGGGCGACACACGUGCUACAAUGCCAAGGACAGAGCGCUGCUACCUCGCGAGUGGACGCCAAUCGCAAAAACCUUGGCUCAGUUCGGAUUGGAGUCUGCAACUCGACUCCAUGAAGCCGGAAU